Molecule: ribosomal RNA, 600 nt
Filed under: Triticum aestivum (bread wheat)
Lineage: Eukaryota; Viridiplantae; Streptophyta; Magnoliopsida; Poales; Poaceae
Description: partial small subunit ribosomal RNA
Source: RNAcentral
AUGGCGAGGAUGUCGGCGCAGGAGACCUUGCCGGCGCACCCGGGGAGCGCCUCGACGGCGGCCUUGGCCUUGUUGAUGGCCUCCACGGCGUCGGGCGACAGCGUGGCGUCCGCGCCGCUGUGGCUCUCGUCGUCCCCGUUCGCCGCCAUCAGCAUCACCGACGCGUCGCACCCCUGCGCACAGCAACAGAGUCACGGUCAGGGCACGGCGAGCAGCAAUGCCAGCACGGCGGAGCAAGAAGGGAAGAGACGAGCGGCUUACGCGGACGAAGCAGUCGUGGAAGAAGAGGCGGAGGGUGCCGGGCGCGACGGCGAAGCUCUGCUGCACGUGCUGCGAGAUGACGGAGCGCACGGUGGACUCGGCGCUGGGGCAGCUGCUGGCGUAGUAGUUCUGCCGCAGCUGCGCGGUCGCGGCGUCGAGGACGCACGCGAGCGCGACCACCGCCAGCAGGCCGGCGCACGAGAGGGCUCCCGCCAUUGCCGGUCGAACAGGCCCCUGCUCAGCUCAGCUCAGCUCGGCGUGGACGCGCGCGCGUGUGGGCGAAAGGCACCGUGCGUGACUGACGCCGGUACGCACGAUUUGUACCGGCUGCGCGCCUAG